UUUUUUUUUCUUCUGAUUUUUAUACUUGAGUGAUGAAAAGGUGUUCGGGGUCAAGUCUAACACUUGAGUAAGCAUUCACAUGUUGUACGUUUACAUCUCAGAGUGGUUCUCGGUUAAAGGUAGCAAAGUGGACCUGGGGAUUGCAGAUUUAACAGCUGUGCCAUGGAGCAAUGCGUGGCUGCUUACUUGAAUUAGUCGCUAAAUAAACCAUGACUACAUGAGUAGAGGUCACCUUCCAUUUCUUCCUUUCUACAAAUUUCAUCCAAUACUCACCAAACUUGGUACAAAUUAUAAUUAAACAGUUGUUAGAAAAAAGUAACUCCUUUCACGUGCCUUGAUGUUUUGGCUUUAAUUGGUUCCCAAAUUCUAGUAGGUAUUCGAGUAACGUUUUGUGCAUACGCAGUAUCAGCUCUGACUGAUCCUGCAAACUUUGGUUACAUUUCAUCUGUAGGUGAUGCUACAGCAUCAUUCUGCUUUUCCUGUGUGGGCAGUGAUUAUGAGUCUGACUCAGUUGAAAUUUUGCACAAUUCUUCUUCGUUCAAAGCCCUAAUAUUCCCGAGCAAGAUUUAGGUUUUUCCAAAACCAUAGACGCUGUCUGGCAUGAUUGUCUUACUUACUUACACUAUAUGUAUUCUGAUGGAGAAACGAUUCAAAUGCAAACUACAAAUAUCUAAACAUUGUAUUUUUUAGAAUAUACAUUAAGAGCCUAGUAUAGCUAUGUGAGUUCUUUUAACAUUUCAACAAGUGUUACUGAAAACUGCAUCUAGAUCAUUUUGUCCCAGAAACAGCUAUUAAAGAACGCAUUGGUCAUUUCCUCAUGUUAACCUUUGUUGAUAUACAUAACUAUUGAGCUCAUGCUGAGAGAUUACUCAUGCAGUAUUUGUCCUUGUGUGGGCUUUACCUGAGGCAGGUCUUGUAUCCAAGUGACAUUUGAAAAGACAAAUACAUCUCAUUUUAUCAAACGUUUUUGCUCUUUUGGAUGUCUGGUUGCUGUUGGCUGUGUAAUUCUCCUUUCUUUAACUCUAUUUCCCUGCCCCCUCUUAAGGUUUGACGACGAAAAAAAUAGGAAAAGCCGUAAAAGGAUCGACCAGGAAAUGCACGGCAAACUGGAGGUCGCAGCUGCUGCUGUUCCAGAGUGAUGCUGCUCGCACUGCCAGAUGUGGAGGAGGAGAAUGUUUCCAACAGCCACUCUUAUUUUUAUGUUCUGGACAACGUGACUGAAGACUUAGCUCAAGAAAGUGCCUUUUUGAAACUAUGCUGCCUGUUAUAACGUGGAACCUUUUUAUAGCUUGAUCUUCAGCGUUUUUCCACAUGCUGUCUGAAAUGUUUUUUUUUUUUUUUUUUUUUUUAUGUACUGCCAAUAUAUCAUGUCAAACUUAGCUUGUUGGUGUUUUCUAGUUAAUGGUGUUUCCUAGUUAUUGGUGUAUCUACACAUUAUUUAAAGCACUCUGUUACAAAUGGUUGAUGCAUGUUCUGCUUUAUUACAUUGAAAUAUAUAUUUAUAUUCAAAAGGUGA
Long non-coding RNA from Perca flavescens (yellow perch), 1516 nucleotides. RefSeq lists it as uncharacterized. Lineage: Eukaryota; Metazoa; Chordata; Actinopteri; Perciformes; Percidae. The transcript is spliced from 2 exons. The record is from RefSeq and is a predicted model, not a curated record.